Molecule: non-coding RNA, 106 nt
Filed under: Burkholderia sp.
Lineage: Bacteria; Pseudomonadati; Pseudomonadota; Betaproteobacteria; Burkholderiales; Burkholderiaceae
Description: Fluoride sequence
Rfam family: Fluoride riboswitch aptamer (crcB RNA motif)
Source: RNAcentral
GCGCCCUGCGGAGAUGGCAUGCCUCCCUGCGGUCGAUCCCGGCGCGUGGCGCGUGCGGUGCGGCCCUCAACCGCCGGGUUGCCCGGCUGAUGAUGCCUGCGUGUUC